ACGCUCGACACCGUACGGGAGGCAGCAGUGGGAAUAUUGCACAAUGGGGGAAACCCUGAUGCAGCGACGCCGCGUGAGCGAAGAAGUAUUUCGGUAUGUAAAGCUCUAUCAGCAGGGAAGAAACUGACGGUACCUGACUAAGAAGCACCGGCUAAAUACGUACCAGCAGCCGCGGUAAUCUGAGCGGCUGGCAAGGC
Molecule: ribosomal RNA, 197 nt
Filed under: uncultured bacterium
Lineage: Bacteria
Description: partial 16S ribosomal RNA
Rfam family: Bacterial small subunit ribosomal RNA
Source: RNAcentral